UGAAUGAAGGGCAGCGGCGGCUGCGCAUGCACCGCGCCCCCCGCCCGGGGCUGGAGGACCAUCAUUAUAUCCAUGUUUGGGAAAUUUCCCUUACUGCUGGGGGAAAGGGACUUCUCCUGAGUGAAGACUGUGGGAUCUGACUUGAAGCAAGACAAGAGAAGCAAAGCCUCUGUAUGAACAUCACAGAAUAGAAGAAAAAAGUGAUGUACAAAGCAAGGAAAAGAGAUCAGGCCGGUUUCAGCUCAGGAUCAAACCCUUGGUAAUGCUGGGCUGAGGGGAACUGUUUUCUCAUCCCACUGCCUUUCCAGAAUCCACAGUGUGUGUUCCUGCAGGAAUUCUCAGCCCUUGUCCUGCCCAGGUGAGCUCACCUGCGCCAAGUGCUUUGCCCAUGGAUCCUUUCCAGGGCUGCUGCUCAGAGAAUGGCACAAAGCUGCUGCUGAACUCCCUUCUCAUUAAUUCAUCCUCCUGGUUUUGAUAUACUGAACUGCACACCUUGCACUCUGUGCUCUGCUCCAGGCAGGCACCCAAAGGGGUCUGGAGUGGUGCAAAUAUGGGAGAUGAAAAUCAGCGUGUGCUGGACUGUGGUGGAGGUCUGGUGCUGUGCUCUGUGGGUGAUGGUCUGGAGGACAACUACUGCCAAAAAACCAAAUUAAAUUGCUUGUUUUUCGCCCA
This is a long non-coding RNA of Lonchura striata (white-rumped munia), 672 nucleotides long. RefSeq lists it as uncharacterized. The record is from RefSeq and is a predicted model, not a curated record. NCBI's taxonomy places the organism in Eukaryota, Metazoa, Chordata, Aves, Passeriformes, Estrildidae.